AACGUCGGAGGAAACAUGCGCGCAACUCUGCUGAAGGCCUUUGCCCUUCUCCUCGUUUUCUCGACGCCCGCGGUGGCGCAGGACUAUCCGUCGAAGCCGCUGCGCCUGAUCAUUCCGUUCGCGCCGGGCGGCAGCGUCGACAUCGUGGCGCGGCUCGCCGCGCAGAAGCUCGGCGACCGGCUCGGCAAGCAGGUGCUGGCGGAGAACCGCGCCGGCGCCGGCGGCAUCAUCGGCUUAGAGCUUGCGAUCGCAGCGCCGCCGGAUGGCCACACCCUGGUGCUCGUCUCGCUGGCGCACGCGGUCAAUCC
RNAcentral lists this unclassified non-coding RNA (308 nucleotides) under uncultured Ascomycota. Its description in RNAcentral is "sequence contains ITS1". The record is from RNAcentral. Lineage: Eukaryota; Fungi; Ascomycota.